RNAcentral lists this ribosomal RNA (2900 nucleotides) under Klebsiella pneumoniae. RNAcentral describes it as "bacterial LSU rRNA". It matches the Rfam family "Bacterial large subunit ribosomal RNA". Lineage: Bacteria; Pseudomonadati; Pseudomonadota; Gammaproteobacteria; Enterobacterales; Enterobacteriaceae. The record is from RNAcentral.
UUAAGCGACUAAGCGUACACGGUGGAUGCCCUGGCAGUCAGAGGCGAUGAAGGACGUGCUAAUCUGCGAAAAGCGUCGGUAAGGUGAUAUGAACCGUUAUAACCGGCGAUGUCCGAAUGGGGAAACCCAGUGCAAUUCGUUGCACUAUCGUUAACUGAAUACAUAGGUUAACGAGGCGAACCGGGGGAACUGAAACAUCUAAGUACCCCGAGGAAAAGAAAUCAACCGAGAUUCCCCCAGUAGCGGCGAGCGAACGGGGAGCAGCCCAGAGUCUGAAUCAGCUUGUGUGUUAGUGGAACGGUCUGGAAAGUCCGACGGUACAGGGUGAUAGUCCCGUACACCAAAAUGCACAGGUUGUGAACUCGAAGAGUAGGGCGGGACACGUGGUAUCCUGUCUGAAUAUGGGGGGACCAUCCUCCAAGGCUAAAUACUCCUGACUGACCGAUAGUGAACCAGUACCGUGAGGGAAAGGCGAAAAGAACCCCGGCGAGGGGAGUGAAAAAGAACCUGAAACCGUGUACGUACAAGCAGUGGGAGCACCUUCGGGUGUGACUGCGUACCUUUUGUAUAAUGGGUCAGCGACUUAUAUUCUGUAGCAAGGUUAACCGUAUAGGGGAGCCGCAGGGAAACCGAGUCUUAACUGGGCGUUAAGUUGCAGGGUAUAGACCCGAAACCCGGUGAUCUAGCCAUGGGCAGGUUGAAGGUUGGGUAACACUAACUGGAGGACCGAACCGACUAAUGUUGAAAAAUUAGCGGAUGACUUGUGGCUGGGGGUGAAAGGCCAAUCAAACCGGGAGAUAGCUGGUUCUCCCCGAAAGCUAUUUAGGUAGCGCCUCGUGAACUCAUCUUCGGGGGUAGAGCACUGUUUCGGCUAGGGGGUCAUCCCGACUUACCAACCCGAUGCAAACUACGAAUACCGAAGAAUGUUAUCACGGGAGACACACGGCGGGUGCUAACGUCCGUCGUGAAGAGGGAAACAACCCAGACCGCCAGCUAAGGUCCCAAAGUCAUGGUUAAGUGGGAAACGAUGUGGGAAGGCACAGACAGCCAGGAUGUUGGCUUAGAAGCAGCCAUCAUUUAAAGAAAGCGUAAUAGCUCACUGGUCGAGUCGGCCUGCGCGGAAGAUGUAACGGGGCUAAACCAUGCACCGAAGCUGCGGCAGCGACACUAUGUGUUGUUGGGUAGGGGAGCGUUCUGUAAGCCUGCGAAGGUGACCUGUGAGGGUUGCUGGAGGUAUCAGAAGUGCGAAUGCUGACAUAAGUAACGAUAAAGCGGGUGAAAAGCCCGCUCGCCGGAAGACCAAGGGUUCCUGUCCAACGUUAAUCGGGGCAGGGUGAGUCGACCCCUAAGGCGAGGCCGAAAGGCGUAGUCGAUGGGAAACAGGUUAAUAUUCCUGUACUUGGUGUUACUGCGAAGGGGGGACGGAGAAGGCUAUGUUAGCCGGGCGACGGUUGUCCCGGUUUAAGCAUGUAGGCUGGUUGUCCAGGCAAAUCCGGAUAAUCAAGGCUGAGGUGUGAUGACGAGGCACUACGGUGCUGAAGUAACAAAUGCCCUGCUUCCAGGAAAAGCCUCUAAGCAUCAGGUAACAUUGAAUCGUACCCCAAACCGACACAGGUGGUCAGGUAGAGAAUACCAAGGCGCUUGAGAGAACUCGGGUGAAGGAACUAGGCAAAAUGGUGCCGUAACUUCGGGAGAAGGCACGCUGGUGUGUAGGUGAAGUCCCUGCGGAUGGAGCUGAGACCAGUCGAAGAUACCAGCUGGCUGCAACUGUUUAUUAAAAACACAGCACUGUGCAAACACGAAAGUGGACGUAUACGGUGUGACGCCUGCCCGGUGCCGGAAGGUUAAUUGAUGGGGUUAUCCGUAAGGAGAAGCUCUUGAUCGAAGCCCCGGUAAACGGCGGCCGUAACUAUAACGGUCCUAAGGUAGCGAAAUUCCUUGUCGGGUAAGUUCCGACCUGCACGAAUGGCGUAAUGAUGGCCAGGCUGUCUCCACCCGAGACUCAGUGAAAUUGAACUCGCUGUGAAGAUGCAGUGUACCCGCGGCAAGACGGAAAGACCCCGUGAACCUUUACUAUAGCUUGACACUGAACAUUGAGCCUUGAUGUGUAGGAUAGGUGGGAGGCUUUGAAGCGUGGACGCCAGUCUGCGUGGAGCCAACCUUGAAAUACCACCCUUUAAUGUUUGAUGUUCUAACGUUGGCCCCUGACCGGGGUUGCGGACAGUGUCUGGUGGGUAGUUUGACUGGGGCGGUCUCCUCCCAAAGCGUAACGGAGGAGCACGAAGGUUAGCUAAUCCUGGUCGGACAUCAGGAGGUUAGUGCAAUGGCAUAAGCUAGCUUGACUGCGAGCGUGACGGCGCGAGCAGGUGCGAAAGCAGGUCAUAGUGAUCCGGUGGUUCUGAAUGGAAGGGCCAUCGCUCAACGGAUAAAAGGUACUCCGGGGAUAACAGGCUGAUACCGCCCAAGAGUUCAUAUCGACGGCGGUGUUUGGCACCUCGAUGUCGGCUCAUCACAUCCUGGGGCUGAAGUAGGUCCCAAGGGUAUGGCUGUUCGCCAUUUAAAGUGGUACGCGAGCUGGGUUUAGAACGUCGUGAGACAGUUCGGUCCCUAUCUGCCGUGGGCGCUGGAGAAUUGAGGGGGGCUGCUCCUAGUACGAGAGGACCGGAGUGGACGCAUCACUGGUGUUCGGGUUGUCAUGCCAAUGGCACUGCCCGGUAGCUAAAUGCGGAAGAGAUAAGUGCUGAAAGCAUCUAAGCACGAAACUUGCCCCGAGAUGAGUUCUCCCUGAGACUUUAAGUCUCCUGAAGGAACGUUGAAGACGACGACGUUGAUAGGCCGGGUGUGUAAGCGCAGCGAUGCGUUGAGCUAACCGGUACUAAUGAACCGUGAGGCUUAACCUU